CCUGGUUGAUCCUGCCAGUAGUCAUAUGCUUGUCUCAAAGAUUAAGCCAUGCAUGUCUAAGUAUAAACAAAUUCUAUACUGUGAAACUGCGAAUGGCUCAUUAAAUCAGUUAUGAUCUACAUGACAAUUCAUUACUACUUGGAUAACCGUGGUAAUUCUAGAGCUAAUACAUGCAACAAAAGCCUCGACUUCGGAAGGGGUGCACUUAUUAGGUAAAAGCCAACCUGGUGUUAAAGCCAGUUUUUUGGUGAUUCAUAAUAAUUCAAUGCUGAUCGCAUGGCCUUGUGCUGGCGACGGUUCAUUCGAUUUUCUGCCCUAUCAGGUUAAGAUUGUAAGAUAGAGGCUUACAUUGCCUACCACGGGUAACGGGGAAUUAGGGUUCGAUUCCGGAGAGGGAGCCUGAGAAACGGCUACCACAUCCAAGGAAGGCAGCAGGCGCGCAAAUUACCCAAUCCCAAUUCGGGGAGGUAGUGACAAUAAAUAACAAUGCAGGGCCUUUUAGGUCUUGCAAUUGGAAUGAGUACAAUUUAAAUCCCUUAACGAGGAUCUAUUGGAGGGCAAGUCUGGUGCCAGCAGCCGCGGUAAUUCCAGCUCCAAGAGCGUAUAUUAAAGUUGUUGCAGUUAAAACGUCCGUAGUCGAAUAGUAGCUUUUGGCUAGGUGACUUGAUCUUCAUUGGUCUAGUUCGCUUUAGUCAUGGCUCUCACGUUUGGUACUGUCUGGUUGGCUUCGGUCGGUUAGAUAUAAGGCCAAACAAAUUACCAUGAGCAAAUCAGAGUGUUUAAAGCAGGCUAUAAGCCUGAAUGUGUUAGCAUGGAAUAAUGAAAUAAGACGUGGCUCUAUAUUUCGUUGGUUUUAAGAGACCAUUGUAAUGAUGAAUAGGAACGGUUGGGGGGAUUUGUAUUUGGUCGCUAGAGGUGAAAUUCUUGGAUUGACCGAAGACAAACUACUGCGAAGGCAUUUCACCCAGGACGUUUUCAUUGAUCAGGGUCGAAAGUUAGGGGAUCGAAGACGAUUAGAUACCGUCGUAGUCUUAACAGCAAACUAUGCCGACUAGAGGUUGGAUAAGUACAUUAUGGCUUAUUCAGAAUCUUAGCGAAAGCAA
RNAcentral lists this ribosomal RNA (1103 nucleotides) under Phycomyces blakesleeanus NRRL 1555(-). RNAcentral's name for it is "SSU rRNA". It matches the Rfam family "Eukaryotic small subunit ribosomal RNA", at positions 3 to 1101 of the family's 1831-position model. The record is from RNAcentral. Lineage: Eukaryota; Fungi; Mucoromycota; Mucoromycetes; Mucorales; Phycomycetaceae.